RNAcentral lists this ribosomal RNA (749 nucleotides) under uncultured Bacilli bacterium. RNAcentral's name for it is "bacterial SSU rRNA". It matches the Rfam family "Bacterial small subunit ribosomal RNA", at positions 29 to 747 of the family's 1533-position model. The record is from RNAcentral. Lineage: Bacteria; Bacillati; Bacillota; Bacilli.
ACGAACGCUGGCGGCGUGCCUAAUACAUGCAAGUCGAACGCUUCUUUUUCCUCCCGAGUGCUUGCACUCAAUUGGAAAGAGGAGUGGCGGACGGGUGAGUAACACGUGGGUAACCUACCCAUCAGAGGGGGAUAACACUUGGAAACAGGUGCUAAUACCGCAUAACAGUUUAUGCCGCAUGGCAUAAGAGUGAAAGGUGCUUUCGGGUGUCGCUGAUGGAUGGACCCGCGGUGCAUUAGCCAGUUGGUGAGGUAACGGCUCACCAAGGCCACGAUGCAUAGCCGACCUGAGAGGGUGAUCGGCCACACUGGGACUGAGACACGGCCCAGACUCCUACGGGAGGCAGCAGUAGGGAAUCUUCGGCAAUGGACGAAAGUCUGACCGAGCAACGCCGCGUGAGUGAAGAAGGUUUUCGGAUCGUAAAACUCUGUUGUUAGAGAAGAACAAGGACGUUAGUAACUGAACGUCCCCUGACGGUAUCUAACCAGAAAGCCACGGCUAACUACGUGCCAGCAGCCGCGGUAAUACGUAGGUGGCAAGCGUUGUCCGGAUUUAUUGGGCGUAAAGCGAGCGCAGGCGGUUUCUUAAGUCUGAUGUGAAAGCCCCCGGCUCAACCGGGGAGGGUCAUUGGAAACUGGGAGACUUGAGUGCAGAAGAGGAGAGUGGAAUUCCAUGUGUAGCGGUGAAAUGCGUAGAUAUAUGGAGGAACACCAGUGGCGAAGGCGGCUCUCUGGUCUGUAACUGACGCU